AGCAGUAGCCACGGUAAUACGAAGGGUGCAAGCGUUAAUCGGAAUUACUGGGCGUAAAGCGUGCGUAGGCGGUUUGUUAAGUCUGUUGUGAAAUCCCCGGGCUCAACCUGGGAAUGGCAAUGGAUACUGGCAAGCUAGAGUGUGUCAGAGGAUGGUGGAAUUCCCGGUGUAGCGGUGAAAUGCGUAGAGAUCGGGAGGAACAUCAGUGGCGAAGGCGGCCAUCUGGGACAACACUGACGCUGAGGCACGAAAGCGUGGGGAGCAAACAGGAUUAGAUACCCGUGUAGUCCCUGUCUCUUAUAC
Molecule: ribosomal RNA, 303 nt
Filed under: uncultured bacterium
Lineage: Bacteria
Description: partial 16S ribosomal RNA
Rfam family: Bacterial small subunit ribosomal RNA
Source: RNAcentral